Molecule: non-coding RNA, 467 nt
Organism: Poecilia reticulata (guppy)
Lineage: Eukaryota; Metazoa; Chordata; Actinopteri; Cyprinodontiformes; Poeciliidae
Source: RefSeq, a predicted model, not a curated record
UAUGGGCAGCGCAGAGGGUCAUGUUCAGGGUCAUGUUCAGGGUCGUGUUUAGGGGCAUGAGCUGCGGUGUUUGGCCCGGGGAGGAGCUGCGGCCUCGGGCUGCCAGAUGCUGAGGAGCUGCGGCGCAACUUCCUGCGGCGGCCCGGGGAGAGGAAGAGGCAGAGGAAGAGGAGCCGGAGGAAGAAGCCCCCCUCCAGGAUCAUUGCGCUCAGCGCCGCUAGCUCGUCGGCUAACGGUCCGGACAGCAGCCAUGAAGAGCCGCAGCAGCCACUGAAAGUUCGCCGCCUCUCACUCCUGGACUCUAAUCGACGGCUGGGCGGUUCGGGAAGUUCGGGUAACUGGGCCGGAAUCCGCUGGAGAAGCCCGACCUGAAGAGACUCGGCUGGCGGAGGAGCGAAGAUGAAGAAGCAGUUCAAUCGGAUGAAGCAGCUCGCUAAUCAGACGGUUGGCAGAGCAGAGAAGACAGA